CCUACGGGAGGCAGCAGUGGGGAAUAUUGCACAAUGGGCGAAAGCCUGAUGCAGCAACGCCGCGUGAGCGAUGAAGGCCUUCGGGUCGUAAAGCUCUGUCCUCAAGGAAGAUAAUGACGGUACUUAAGGAGGAAGCCCCGGCUAACUACGUGCCAGCAGCCGCGGUAAUACGUAGGGGGCUAGCGUUAUCCGGAAUUACUGGGCGUAAAGGGUGCGUAGGUGGUUUCUUAAGUCAGAGGUGAAAGGCUAGGGCUCAACCGUAGUAAGCCUUUGAAACUUGGAAACUUGAGUGCAGGAGAGGAGAGUGGAAUUCCUAGUGUAGCGGUGAAAUGCGUAGAUAUUAGGAGGAACACCAGUUGCGAAGGCGGCUCUCUGGACUGUAACUGACACUGAGGCACGAAAGCGUGGGGAGCAAACAGGAUUAGAUACCCUAGUAGUC
This 439-nucleotide ribosomal RNA is filed under the name uncultured bacterium. Its description in RNAcentral is "partial 16S ribosomal RNA". It matches the Rfam family "Bacterial small subunit ribosomal RNA", at positions 338 to 795 of the family's 1533-position model. The record is from RNAcentral.